This 10338-nucleotide long non-coding RNA is filed under the name Salvia miltiorrhiza (redroot sage). RNAcentral describes it as "long non-coding RNA (SMIL_LNC007010)". The record is from RNAcentral. Lineage: Eukaryota; Viridiplantae; Streptophyta; Magnoliopsida; Lamiales; Lamiaceae.
AAAGAUGCAGAGUCCGUUGCCAUUUCCUUGCUCGAGUCUCUCUUGUCCUACACCUUGGGGGUGAAGAUGCAAGAGACGAAGAGCAGCUGGUCGUUGGUGUCAAAGCUGAUGCAGUCCAAGAAAGUAUCAGAUGACGAGAAUGAGUUCAACAAGGUGGAUUCACUCCUGCAAGUGAAUCAAGAAAACGAGCUCGUGAAUCACAUAAAAGAGAUGGACUCGAGCAUUCAAGUUGUUGAAGAAGAACUCGAAUCAGUAUUCAGGCAGUUGAUCAAGACCAGAGUUUCCCUUCUCAACAUCCUCAACCACUAGCUAGCUUUCAAACUCAUCUUGAGAUUGAAAAUUUUGUAACUUAGUACAUGAAAAUGUACUUGUACAUAUCAAAUUGAUCCACAAGGAUCAUUAUAAUACAGAGACAAAAAAAAAUCUCACACAUAUAUACUUAUUUCAUUUUCCCUGUCCUUGACCAUCUAAUAUUGAGUAUUUGCUAUUUAUUUAUUUGAUUUAGGAAUUUCUUUUAUCUUAAGCAUCUAUGAUGCAUGCUAGGCUGUUUCAUCAUCACGCGUGACAUACUGUGGAAAUACAAAGUUUACGGCAUCAUGCCAUCUUUGUGAAAUCUGAAAUCUCUAAAGAUAUAUAUGGUGGCAUGCUGUGGGAUAAAUCUAUCACAUUUUCUUCUAUAUCCAACUAUCUUCUCCCCCUCAUAAGGUAAUAAAUCUCUCAAAUUUUAAGGUGAUAUUUCAAAUUUUGUAACAGAAAGUUUUAUGCUACCCACUAACUGCAAAAUAUUGGAUUGCAUACCUCAAGUGGGAAGAUUUUUUUCUUGAAAGCUUGGGACAUGGAUUAACAGAUUCUUCUUUUUUGUGGGUAUGAUUUUCUCUUAGCCUUAGAGCAGAAAGUAGCAUCUUGGUUCAUGUGUGAGACAGAUCUCCAGCCCAUCCAAAUUCAGCCUAUUUUUUCAACUUCUUGUGAAAUGAUUCAAUGAAUACGAGGCGAAAGAAGCAACUUAUUGAUCCAGACAAAAGCGUUUUAGGCCGUUUACUCUGUCUGUCAUGUGAUUCAGACAAGCAGCUAAGAGAACUGCCAUGGAAACUGCGGCUUCAAAUCAAUAUUCAAAUAAGGCCUACAAAAUUGAAGAGUUCUGCUGUCUUUAUAGGAAGUGGUAGUAUACAUAUAUAAAGAUGAAUUGACCCGUGUGAUAUCGAUCAAGAUUCACCAUUAUUCCGGCUAUGUCUAUGCAUUCUUUCCUACCAUCAAAACCAAGAAAUUGUUUCAGGCUUUAGUAGUUUGGAUUGCAUCAUAGAUUUGUGUGUUUGCAUCGUCUGAAACCAGCAGUUAUCAAGGAAUAGAAGAUUCUUUCAUUUGGAGAAUCCUUCCCAGUUAUGAAGGAAUAAAAGAUUCAUUCAUUUACUAUUAUUACCAACAGUUAACUUUUCAUAUCUCAGAAGAAAAUAACAACAUAGGCAGCACAAUUACUUGAAUUUGUCAAAUCUCAAGACAAUAUAAUAAUUUAGGACACACGAGGGUAUUGCAUAGUUUAAUACUAUCUCAGCUGUCCAGAUUCCAAAUGUCUCUGAAGAGACAGCAACUACUGAAUAUAUAUCACAUGCUUUCACCUCAGAAAAAACACUAAUAAAAUGUGCAGUUGCGGAUACAGUACAGAUUUCUCUACAAUAUACAAUUAUGUUGGCUACGAUGGUAGGAAACAUUGCGUAGACAUCGCCAUAAUCAUUCAUAAUCCAGAUCAUAUCACACGAGCUCGUCUUAGAAAACAUAAUGUUGUCGUUCAUCUUUUCUAAAUAUUAAGAGAAUGCAUUAUGCUUCCAAACAUCACAAACUUCUUCCUUCAUUCCUCAUUUUCAUCAAGAAAAAGCAAUGGCUCUUCACCACAGCCGCUCUCUUAGCUUCCCAUCUGCAUCACAUCCUGCUCUUACUCACUUCGAUGACAGCUUAUCCAGAGUGAGAUCUUCGGAGGCUGCUUGCUGCUCGCUCUCAUCAAUCAACGCCACAAUAAAUGGCCUCAAAAACCUGUACGAUAGCAUUGAUGAUUUGCUGCUCUUGCCUCACAUUCAACAGGUCGUAUCUGAGGAAUGUGUCGAUGAUUGCAUUAGGCUAUUGGAUGCGUGCAGCUCAGUUAAAGAUCUCAUCUCACUUUCCAAGCAAAAUUUAAGAGAGCUUCUCUCUGCUAUAAGGAGAAAGGAUGUUCGCGGCAUCAAUACCUACCUUGCUUCAAGAAAAAGGUCGAAGAAAAUGAUCCAAAAGUGUUUGAAGAAGUUGAGACGUAGCAGCGCCUCAGCCACUUCUGAGAAUGCUUCCCUGUUGAAAGAUGCAGAGUCCGUUGCCAUUUCCUUGCUCGAGUCUCUCUUGUCCUACAUGUUGGGAACGAAGAUGCAAGAGAGGAAGAGCAGCUGGUCAUUGGUGUCAAAGCUGAUGCAAUCCAAGAAAGCAUCAGACGAAGAGAAUGAGUUCAACAAGGUGGAUUCACUCCUGCAACUGAACCAGGAAAACGAGCUCGUGAAUCACUUGAAACAGAUGGAAUCAAGCAUUCAAGAUGUUGAAGAAGAACUCGAAUCCACAUUCAGGCAGUUGAUAAAAACUAGAGUUUCCCUCCUCAACAUUCUCAACCACUAGCCUUAAAUCUCAUCUUGAGUUUGAAAAUUUUGUAGAGAAUCUAUUAUACAAACUGAAAAUUUUGUACAGAAAUUAUACAAUACAAACUGAAAAUUUCUUAUAAACUCUUGCACAGUACCCUCAUUUUAUUGUGAUAAGAAUCUAUUACAUAUUCUUCUACCAAGUCUCUCUCCCUUGAUUAUAUAUCCAAGGCUACGGUGAUUCUCACAACAUUUUGCAGUGAUCUAGUGGAGAACACACUUGGCUAACAGAAAUGCUAAUGUUGCUACAGAAAGACUGAGGAUUCCUAUCCUAUCAGAGUGUUUUGGACUGCAUAUAUACCAAGAUUUUUCAAUUUUUGGAUAUUCAGAUAAGCUUUAAUAUUUUCAUUUGCAGCAUAUUAUAUGCCUUCUUCAACUGCAGCAGCUUGAAACUAACAUAGAUUCAAGCAACUGAUUCUGAUUUUUGGCCUUUGUACAAAAACAGUCUCUCUCUCUCUUCAAUUUCAAAGGUGAAUCUGCCAUCUUUAUCAGUUCUUCUAAAUAUGCAAAUAAGGCCUAGAAAUUGCACAGGAACAGAGUUAUCAGCCUGUUAUCUAUUUCAAUGAGCUUUUUCGGUUUUGAUUUUGGAUAUUUGCUCAUGUCGUAGAAGCAACGCUCAUUGUUGGUCUUGCCUCACAAUGUUUACAAUAUGAACCUAGCGAGAGACGAAUAUAAAGGAUCUCAUUCCAGCCAAAAUCACACAGUUAUGAAGGAAUAGAAAAGAUUCAGUCAUUGGAGAAAUCAUUCAUUUACUAUAAUACCAACAGUUAAAUUACUUUUCACAUUCUCAGAAGAAAAUAAUAACUUAGGCAGCAAAAUUGCUUGAAUUUAUGAAACUUCUCAAAUCUCAAGACAAUAUAGUAGAAUAGGCCACACGAGGGAGUUGCAUAGUUUAAUACUAUCUCAGCUGUCCAGAUUCCAAAUGUCUCUGCAAAAACAACAAUUACUGAAUAUAUAUCACAUGCAUUCACCACAGAAAUAACACUAAUAAAAUGUGCAGUUGCUAAUAAUGUGGAUCAAAUUGCAGAUUUAACAACAAUUGGCUGUGAUGGUAGGAAACAUUGCGUAGACAUCGCCAAAAUAAUUGAUAAUCCAGAUCAUAUUACACCACUAUAUAUUGAGAAGAGUGCAUUAUGCUUCAAACAUCACAAACUCCUACCUUCAUUCAUCAAUUCAAUUCUAAGCCUCAUUUCCACGGUUCCACCAACAAAAAACAAUGGCUCUUCACCAUGGCCGCUCUCUUAGCUUCCCUUCUUCAUCACAUCCUGCCCUUUCUCACUUUGAUGAGAACAUAUCCAGAUUGAGAUCUUCGGAAGCUGCUUGCUCCUCGCUCUCAUCAAUCAACGCCACAAUAAACAGCCUCAAAAACUUAUACGAGAGCAUUGAUGAUUUGCUGCUCUUGCCUCACAUUCAACAGAUUGUUUCUGAGGAAUGUGUCGAUGAUUACAUCAGCCUAUUGGAUGCUUGCAGCACAGUUAAAGAUCUCGUCUCUCUUGCAAAGCAAGAUUUACGAGAUCUUCUCUCUGCAGUAAGGAGAAAGGAUGCUAAAGGCAUCAAUGGCUACCUUGCUUCCAGAAAAAGGUCGAAGAAAAUGAUCCAAAAGUGUUUGAAGAAGUUGAGACGUAGCAGCGCCUCAACCACUUCUGAGAAUGUUUCCAUGUUGAAAGAUGCAGAGUCCGUUGCCAUUUCCCUGCUCGAGUCUCUCUUGUCCUACACGUUGGGAACGAAGAUGCAAGAGACGAAGAGCAGCUGGUCAUUGGUGUCAAAGCUGAUGCAUUCCAAGAAAGCAUCAGACGACGAGAAUGAGUUCAACAAGGUGGAUGCACUCCUGCAACUGAACCAAGACAACGAGCUCGUGAAUCACUUGAAAGAGAUGGAAUUGAGCAUUCAAGUUCUUGAAGAAGAACUUGAAUCAGUAUUCAGGCAGAUGAUCAAGACCAGAGUUUCCCUUCUCAACAUUCUCAACAACUAGCUUUCAAACUCACCUUGAGAUUGAAAAUUUUGUAACUAGUACAUCAAAAUAUACUUGUAUAUAUCAAAUUGAUCCACAAGGAUAAUUACAAUACAAUCAGAAAAUUUCUGCUACAUUCUUGUUCAAUAUCCUGAUUUUAGUAUAUGCUUAUCCAUUCAUUCCUAUUCUUGACUUGAAUAUACAAGAUAUAUAUAACAUAAUGGCAUUUCAAGAUUUACAGCAUCAUGCUCUGAUCAUAACUGCCAAGAUUUAUAUCUAACAUAUACAAGCAUAUUGAUAAGAUCUAAUCAGUAUUAUUUUAUGCAGCAUGUAUUGAUUCAUGAAUCUUAAUCCGUAAAGAUAUGGAUGUGAUUUUUUCCCCUCAUUAAUUUGAGCUCUAAAAUAUAUUUUUAAACAUAUAUGGAGCUCUAACAAUUGAAUGAAGGCUGGAUAUAUUUUUAAAAUUUGAACUGAUUUUUUCAAUUAAUAGAGAAAUUGUCUCAGGCCUAAGUGAGGCUGGAUAUUUAAAGAUAUUUCAAUGGCUCUGCAUGCGAUGAAGCUAGCUUGACCAACAUGAAUUAUGAGGCAACAAUUGCAAAUUCAUCUAAGUAUUUUUUAUUUUUUGGGUUUGUUUUGUUGUUUGUAUUUCAUCACCACCACUCAAAAUCAUGAUCAAAAAGCAAACUCGAACCAGGAUUUCAAGAAAACCUGAGCUACACUCCAAAAUUUCAUAGUAUCUGCCAUGAUAAUAAUUCUAGAAAAAAAAUAAUUCGAAAUUUAUUGAUAUUGAUGAGGAGGGAAAUAACAAAAGGGUAUAUUUCUUAGAAAAAAUCGACAAAGGCGAAAAAAAAUGGAGGGGUUUUUGUUGGAACUUUUUUGGGUACAAAAAUUACUUCUUCGAUUAUGUGUGUGUGUGUUUUUUUUUAAAUAAUAAAGGAAUCUCGUUGCUGGAAAACACUGGCCUGGUUUUCUUGUUGUCCAUCAUUUUGAUUGGAUAUACUUGUAAAAACCAGAUUAUUUUGUGACUACUGCCAAAACUACACAAUUUUUCAUGAACUCAUGGACUUGUAUUUCUUCUUUGCUGAUUUACAAAUAAGGCCUUUCAAAUUGAACAGAAAGAGUUGUGCAGCCAUCUACCUAUAAUUUAUAGCAUAUAUGGAGAUGAAGGGACAAGAAGAAUCAAAAUUAUUUUUUCAAACAUGAUCAACGUGAUAGUGAUGCAUGGAGAUUCACAAUUAUUUCCGGCUAUGUCUAUGCAUUGUUUCCCACACACUAUUAAAAAACCAUAUUUAUUUCAUGCAUGAAUUCUCACCCAAAGAGAAUAUAAAGAAAAUAUCAUUUUGUAGAUCUUCGGAGGCUGCUUGCUCCUCCCUCUCAUCAAUCAAUGGCCUCAGAAAUUUAUACGAGAGCAUUGAUGAUUUGCUUCUCUUGCCUCACAUUCAACAGAUUGUUUCUGAGGAAUGUGUUGAUGGUUACAUCAACCUAUUGGAUUCUUGCAGCUCAGUUAAGGAUCUCAUCUCACUUUCCAAGCAAAAUUUAAGAGAGCUUUUGUCUGCUGUAAGGAGAAAGGAUGUUCGAGGCAUCAAUGGCUACCUUGCUUCCAGAAAAAGGUUAAAGAAAAUUAUCCAAAAGUGUUUAAAGAAUAUGAGACGUUGCAGCGCCUCAGCCUCUUCUGAGAAUGCUUCCAUGUUGACAGAUGCAGAGUCCGUUGCCAUUUCCUUGCUCGAGUCUCUCUUGUCCUACACGUUGGGGAUGAAAACGCAAGAGAGGAAGAGCAGCUGGUCAUUGCCAUUGGUAACAAAGCUGAUGCAAUCCAAGAAAGCAUCAGACGACGAGAAUGAGUUCAACAAGGUGGAUUCAUUGUUGCAAGUGAACCAAGAAAACGAGCUCGUGAAUCACUUGAAAGAGAUGGACUCGAGCAUUCAAGUUGUUGAAGAAGAACUUGAAUCUGUUUUCAGGAAGAUGAUCAAGACCAGAGUUUCCCUUCUCAACAUUCUCAAUCACUAGCUUUCAAAUGAAAAUUUUCUUCUACAUUCUUGUUCCACGCCCUAUCCUUGACUAAAAAUUGUUGAAUAUUUUCCAGCUUUCAACAUUAGGCCUAAAAGAUGAAAUAUAAAUAUAAUAGAAUUGCAUGUCAAGCCUUAUGAAUAAUCAAUAUUCCGGUGGAAUUAAUGAUAUGUCAAAGGCUCUCACAAUAUUUUCCAUCGAUUCAGUUGCUAUAUAUAGUCAAUCUGUUUUUGGACUGCACAUUAAGGAUGUUGCUGAUUGAUGAGAAUGAUGAAUCUGAGGCCUCAGAAGCUCCAACUGUGACAGCCCAUGUUUAAGGGAUUUCGACUUCAACGGUUAAUAAGCCUACAAAUUGAACAGAAAAGAGUUAUAGCAUAUAUGAAAAUAUUAAGAUUAAAAAUCCAUAUCUAUUUUAUGCAUGAAUUUUCAGCCAAAGGGAAAUACAGGUUGGCUGCAAGAAUAUGAAGCCUCUACCUCAGACAAAAUGAAUUUAAAAAAAUAGAUUCUGCAGAUCUGUGCUUCUGUUUGAGGGUAUAUAAUAUGGACACUGCACGAAGAGCUGACCUUUAUUAAAAGAAAUGCACGUUGAAUCUCGCCUCGUUUCUCAUUCAUCACAAGCUCUCAUGGAGCUGCCAACUGUGUAAACUCUGUGCUGCAUAGAUAAUGAUGGAGCUUUGAUUGCUUAUCUUCAGACAAAUUAAUACAAUAUUCUCAUCAUAUGUUUCUUCACCAAGAGCAAAAAAUGAAAUGUAUUCGUGCAUUACAUUAAAAUAAUUUCAAGAUAACUAUAUUUUAUGGCAGUUAUUCAUGGUCUGUCAUUGGGAAAAUAAUGCAGAUUCCUUAUGUCCUUUUCCUCACUAUAUAAUAAGCACAUAUAUUUUUGUUAGAUGCAUCACAAUUUUCUUGAUUCAAUUCCAAUUCUAAGCCUUACUUUCACCAAGUAAAAAAACAAACAAUGGCUCCCUCACCUUUGAGAUCCAAGUCACUUAACCAUGGCCGCUCUCUUAGCUUCCCAUCUUCAUCACAUCCUGCUCUUACUCACUUCGAUGAGAACUUAUCCAGAUUGAGAUCUUCCGAGGCUGCUUGCUCGUCGCUCUCAUCCAUCAACCGCGCUGCAAAUGGCCUCAGAAACUUAUAUGAGAGCAUCGAUGAUUUGCUUCUCUUGCCUCACAUUCAGCAGAUCGUUUCUGAGGAGUGUGUUGAUGAUUACAUCAGCCUAUUGGAUGCUAGCAGCUCAGUUAAGGAUCUCAUCUCACUCGUGAAGGAAGAUCUACGAGAGCUUCUCUCUGCUGUAAGGAGAAAGGAUGUUCGAGGCAUAAACGGCUACCUUGCUUUAAGAAAGCAGUCGAAGAAAAAGAUCCAAAAGUGUUUAGAAGAAGUUGAGACGUAGCAGCGCCUCAGCCUUUUCUGAGAAUGUUUCCAUGUUGAAAGAUGCAGAGUCCGUUGCCAUUUCCUUGCUCGAGUCUCUCUUGUCCUACACGUUGGGGAUGACAAUGCAAGAAAGCAUCAGACGACGAGAAUGAGUUCAACAAGGUGGAUUCAUUCCUGCAACUGAAUCAAGAAAACGAGCUCGUGAAUCACUUGAAAGAGAUGGACUCGAGCAUUCAAGUUCUUGAAGAAGAACUUGAAUCGGUAUUCAGGCAGAUGAUCAAGACCAGACUUUCCCUUCUCAACAUUCUCAACAACUAGAGAUUGAAAAUUUUGUAACUAGUACAUGAAUAUAUAUACUUGUAUAUAUCAAAUUGAUUCACAAGGAUCAUUACAAUACAAUCAGAAAAUUUUCUGCUACAUUCUUGUUCAAUAUCCUGAUAUUAGUAUAUGCUUAAUUUAUCUAUUCAUUCUUAUUGUUGACUUGAAUAUACAAGAUGACAUAUCAAUACAACAAGAUUUACAGCAUCAUACUAUGUUCAUAACUAACAAGAUUUAUAUCUUACAUGUCUACUAACAAAGUUCUAAUAUUAUCUUAUUCAGUUUGUAAUAAUAUUCUCUCCCUCAUUCUAUAUAAAAUCAACAGCUACAUGACUAUCAAAUCAACAGCUACAAGAUAACUGAGCUCUAAAAUACUAUCUAAACUGAUGUCUUCGACAUUUACAGAAAUCAUCUCAAGCCUAAGUAAGUCUAGCAGGGACUGAAAUGAGACUAAAAGAUUCAACACCACAAAUUUUCAAGUGAUACAUGAACUCGUGGACUUGUAUUUCUUCCUUGAUCAUUUUCACAACAGCCAGACUAGAUCUUCAAACCGAGCUGCAAGCAACCAUUCAAUAUUUUCUCAACUUUGUUGAUAAUGAUCCAACGUGUACAAGGCGAAAAAAGCAAAUCAUCGGUGCAUUUGAGGCCGUUUACUGUCCCUCGUUGAUGACAAUGGUGAAACUGAGGUCUUAGGAGCUCCAACUGCUAAUGGCCAUGUUUGAGGGUUUUCGAUUCCAAAGGUGAAUCUACCAGUUUUUUUUUCCAGUUCAUUCUAAUAAGCAAAUAAGGCCUACAAAUUGAACAGAAAAGAGUUAUGCAGUUGUCUACCUAGCGUUUACAGCAUAUAUGCAGAUGAAGAGGAUCCAUGUGAAAUUGAUUGAGAUUCACAAACCAGCAGACUAUUAAUAAUACAUAUUUAUUUUAUGCAUGGACUUUAAGAACCCUGAUUUAACAUGAUUAACUUAUCUAGUCAUUGCAUAUAAACAUCUAGGAAAUAUAUCAUCUAAAAAAAGCAGCAUUAUAGGUAAGAUCCCACCAACCAAAAGAAAAGAGAGAAGCAAAAUAUUACUACUCGAUCACAUUGUGCUGCUCACAAAUGAAAUUGGUGGAAUUAUAAACCUGAAAUUACAUGCAUCAAUCAAGUAUAGUCGGGUGAUUUCUUCUUCACAUCACAAGCACAUUUCCAAAAGUGGAAACAUAUAAGAAUAACCCAUUUGUUAAAGUUUGCUACACUACAUACCAACUUUCUGAAAUUGAUACACUAGCUACCCUUUUUUAAUUUUUUGUCAUUUAUUAAUUGUAAAUCAAUCUAUUUCAAGUACAAUAUGGAUAUCAACUGUAAAUAUACAAGUCCUAUGAGAAAACAAAGAAUAGCAAAGUUGCAAAAAGCAAGCAGUAACAUAUAAGAUGAAGGCAUGAGUUCUUACUUCAGUGGCAGCUAGUUUCUUUACAUCCUCUUCUGUUUGAAUACAAGAUCCAACAUAAAUUUUCUUUGCUCCGUGAUCUGCAAGAGUAAAAUGAAAGCAUCAGCAUGUUGGAGUUCAAUGUCUGAGUCCAUGGACUUUAAGAACCUUGAUUUAGCUAAUGAAUUAUCACAAAAAACAAAAAUACUGAGAGGUCAAGAGCACAAGCAGAUAAUUAUCACAAGCCUCUAGCUCAGACAAAAUGAAUUAAAAGAAAAUAUGAUUCUGCAGAUCUGUGCUUCUGUAUGAGGGCACAAAGCUAUAUAAUUUGGACGUUGCAGGAAGAGCUGACCUUUAUUAGAAGAAAUGCACGUUGAAUCUCGCCUCGUUCCUCAUUCAUCACAAGGUCUCAUGGAGCUGCCAACUGUGUAAACUCUGUGUUGCAUAGAUAAUGAUGCAGCUUUGAUUGCUUAUUUUCAGACAAAUUAAUACUAUAUUCUAAUCAUAUGUUUCUUCACCAAGAGCAAACCAUUAAAAUAAUUUCAAGACAACUAUAUUUUAUGGUAGUUAUUUAUGGUCUGUCAUUGGGAAAGUAAUGCAGAUUCCUUGAAUCCUUUUCCCCACUAUAUCAUAAGCACAU